Long non-coding RNA from Chlorocebus sabaeus (green monkey), 1365 nucleotides. RefSeq lists it as uncharacterized. The record is from RefSeq and is a predicted model, not a curated record. NCBI's taxonomy places the organism in Eukaryota, Metazoa, Chordata, Mammalia, Primates, Cercopithecidae.
UGAUUAUCUUAGUCUCAAGGAUGUCCUCGUUUUCUCUGAGUGAGGUAUCCUAGAGAGCCGGCUGAGUGUGGCUGGCCAAUACUCGGCCUCUGUGGUUGUCAUUCAUUCAUUCAUUACUCAUGGAGGUGGGUGGAUGAUGACAAAACCUGUACUAUGUGCAAGUUAUUUUAAGGGCUUCCAAAAAAGUUAGAACAAUGAUUUUGCAACUGAGGAAGCCACAGUCCAUGAGGAUGAGUGUUACAAAGACAGUAAGAAGCAAGCGGCACCAGAGAGAGAUGCUGAUGUUGGGCUGCGGCUGUCGAGAGGAGUGAGGCCCUGAAGGCUGCCAUCAGGGGAAGCUUCUGGUCUGCUGGAAAGGCUUCCUGAACAUCUCCAAGUCCAGGUGCGUUCCAGAAUGCUAAGAACCAAAGGAGAAGGGCAUGCUUCUGUCCGUGGCUUUUUACUUUUUAAAACUGAAGGAUCUCACAUUUCUCCUCCUGUUCAGGAAGUGAGAGCAGAAUGAGACAGAAAAGAUGAAUGCAGCGAGAAAGAAUGAACCUUGUGGUCCUUCUGUUUCACGCUCUUGCACGAUCUUCCCAUGUCUUGGUGACCAAGCUCUUCUAGCCUGAAUCAGCAUGGAGAACAAGCAGAGGAUGGAUUUCUGCAAGAUGUGAGGACUGCAAUAUUCCCGUUUGCGCAUGAACCAUAGCUGCUGUCCCUAGAUCCCCUGACCUCUGGAGAAGGCUGCUACCAUUGCACUGACCCAACCUCACCAAGGCAUCAAAGGACAAAAGAAGGAACCAAAACGUGGGUGUCAUUACUGCAAGUCCCAUCGAGGUGCCAGGCAGUGACAAAACCAGAGAAUGUCUCAGGCAGAGAGACACAGAAAACCACAGGUCUGAAUGGCAACCACAUCAACAACCUGACCAUGAGACUGUCCUGCUGAAACCUCUCCUGGCUCCCAUUGUCCAGGGAUGAAGGCAUUAUCCUGACCUGCCAGCAGCUGCCUAAGUGGUAUCCAUGCUGAACCUAACAAUUCCUGAGAAGCCAUGAAGUUUCGCUUGAUGAUGCAUAAGAGUAGACAAAGGAGAAGGUGCCCAGAAUUCAUACGUAAUAACCAUGGCCUAUUCCAAAGCUUUCAGUGCUUCCCCCCUAGGCCCUGAUUGGCAUCUCCUUCCAUUCUAAAAAAUAACACACCUACAAAGAUGUACUUGACAUUGACACAGGGAACCCAGAGAUACCGAUUACUACAUGUUCAAUGGUCAGUUGGAGUCUGCAUUUUAUUAGACAAAAUAAUCUAUAUAAGACUCGUUUUUGUGUCUACCUUAAAGGGUAAUGAGGCCUUCCAGUUUCAGCUCCAACAAGAAAAGAGCUUGGAAGUCAACG